Molecule: ribosomal RNA, 253 nt
Filed under: uncultured bacterium
Lineage: Bacteria
Description: partial 16S ribosomal RNA
Rfam family: Bacterial small subunit ribosomal RNA
Source: RNAcentral
UACAGAGACUGCAAGCGUUAUUCGGAUUCACUGGGCGUAAAGGGUGCGCAGGCGGUUGGGUGUGUCAGAUGUGAAAUCCCGAGGCUUAACCUCGGAACUGCGUCUGAAACUACUCGACUAGAGUACUGGAGAGGGUAACGGAAUUCACGGUGUAGCAGUGAAAUGCAUUGAUAUCAUCAGGAACACCGGUGGCGAAAGCGGCUCACUGGGUCUUUUCUGACGCUGAUGGACGAAAGCUAGGGGAGCGAACGGG